AGGGCAGUAGCUCAGUUGGUAGAGCAUCGGUCUCCAAAACCGAAGGUCGCAGGUUCGAUCCCUGUCUGCCCUGCCA
Molecule: transfer RNA, 76 nt
Filed under: SAR324 cluster bacterium
Lineage: Bacteria; Deltaproteobacteria
Also listed under: 2 other names
Description: tRNA-Trp
Rfam family: tRNA
About the family: Transfer RNA (tRNA) molecules are approximately 80 nucleotides in length. Their secondary structure includes four short double-helical elements and three loops (D, anti-codon, and T loops).
Source: RNAcentral